Molecule: ribosomal RNA, 1232 nt
Filed under: metagenome
Description: bacterial LSU rRNA
Rfam family: Bacterial large subunit ribosomal RNA
Source: RNAcentral
UGAAUACGAGACGCUAAGGCGUCGAAGUAGUGUAUGUCAUACUUCCAAGAAAAGCUUGCACUGUCAUAAGUAAAAAAUGCCUGUACCAUAACCGACACAGGUGGGUAGGUAGAGUAUACUAAGGGGCGCGAGAUAACUCUCUCUAAGGAACUCGGCAAAAUGACUCCGUAACUUCGGGAGAAGGAGUGCCUUAUUUAUAAGGUUGCAAUAACAAGAUCCAAGCAACUGUUUAUCAAAAACACAGGUCUCCGCUAAGUCGUAAGACGAUGUAUGGGGGCUGACGCCUGCCCAGUGCCAGAAGGUUAAAGAAGUUGGUUAGUGUAUGCGAAGCUGAUGACUGAAGCCCUGGUGAACGGCGGCCGUAACUAUAACGGUCCUAAGGUAGCGAAAUUCCUUGUCGGGUAAGUUCCGACCCGCACGAAAGGCGUAAUGAUUUGGAUACUGUCUCGGAGAGAGGCUCGGUGAAAUAGACUUGUCUGUGAAGAUGCGGACUACCUGCACCAGGACAGAAAGACCCUAUGAAGCUUUACUGUAACUUGAAAUUGGAAUUGGACUUUGCUCGCGCAGUAUAGGUGGGAAGCGUUGAAAAUAUUCUUGCGGGAGUAUUGGAGCUAUCAGUGAGAUACCACUCUUGUAAUGUUAGAUUUCUAACUUUGAACCAUAAUCUGGUCAAAGAACAGUUUCAGGUGGGCAGUUUGACUGGGGCGGUCGCCUCCCAAAUGGUAACGGAGGCGUACAAAGGUUUCCUCUGAACGGAUAGAAAUCGUAUCUAGAGUGUAAAGGCAUAAGGAAGCUUGACUGUGAGACCUACAAGUCGAGCAGGGACGAAAGUCGGUCUUAGUGAUCUGACGGUACUGAGUGGAAAGGCCGUCACUCAACGGAUAAAAGUUACUCUAGGGAUAACAGGCUGAUCUCCCCCAAGAGUUCACAUCGACGGGGAGGUUUGGCACCUCGAUGUCGGCUCAUCGCAUCCUGGGGCGGUAGUACGUCCCAAGGGUUGGGCUGUUCGCCCAUGAAAGCGGUACGCGAGCUGGGUUCAGAACGUCGUGAGACAGUUCGGUCCAUAUCCGGUGUAGGCGCUAGAAUAUUGAGAGGAGCCUUCUUUAGUACGAGAGGACCGAGAAGGACACACCGCUGGUGUACCAGUUAUCGUGCCAACGGUAAACGCUGGGUAGCUAUGUGUGGAGUGGAUAACCGCUGAAAGCAUCUAAGUGGGAAGCCCAUCUCGAGAU